CCGGGCGGGGGCGGGGGUCGGGGGCUUGUGUGGGCGUGUGGUGUUUGGAGCUGUUUUCUUGUUUGUUUUUCUUGUUUAAUUUGUUUUUCUUGUUUUGUUUUGUCUUUCUUCAUGUUUGGGGUGUAUGUAAGGGAUGGGGGUGUGGACAAGCGGUGUUUUGAGUUUUCUUGUUUGUUUUUCUUAUUUUAUUUGUUUUCUAGUUUUCUUUUGUUUUUUUCUUCUUGUUUUUGUUUUCUUGUUUGGGGUGUGUGUAAGGGUGGGCGUGUGGACAAGUGGUGUUUUUGCUUUCUUGUUUUCUUGAUUGUUUUCUUGUUAUGGAAGGGGUUAAAAGUGUGGAGAAGUGGUGUUUUGAGGUGUUUUCUUGUUUUCUUUAUUGUUUUCUUGUUAUGGAAGGGGUUGUAAGGGUGGAGAAGUGGUGUUUUGAGGUGUUUUCUUGUUUUCUUGAUUGUUUUCUUGUUAUGGAAGGGGUUGUAAGGGUGUAGAAGUGGUGUUUUGAGGUGUUUUCUUGUUUUCUUGAUUGUUUUCUUGUUAUGGAAGGGGUUGUAAGGGUGUAGAAGUGGUGUUUUGAGGUGUUUUCUUGUUUUCUUUAUUGUUUUCUUGUUAUGGAAGGGGUUGUAAGGGUGGAGAAGUGGUGUUUUGAGGUGUUUUCUUGUUUUCUUGAUUGUUUUCUUGUUUUGGAAAGGGUUAAAAGGGUGGAGAAGUAUUUUUUUGAGGUGUUUUCUUUAUUGGUUUUCUUGUGUGUUUGAGGUAUUUCCUUGUUUUAUUUUUUUCCUGUUUUAUUGGUUGUAUUGUUAUUGUGAGGGAGUUUCUUGUUCCAUUUUUACCGAGACCCAGUGUUUUGAUCUGUGUUAUUUGCCGUUCAUUCUCUGGGCCAUUGUUAGGGGCUGUUUAUGGUCUGUUUGUGUGUUCUUACUUAAUAAUCGUGGUCAUGCAGGGUUCAGGCAGUUUCUUGUCUCACUUUUUUUUUUUACAGUAGAGGAAACAGUUCAAGGAAAAAAUAAAAGAAACAAUAAUAAAAAAAAAAAAGCCUGUUACUCACUGCUCCUAGAAAACAGUCAAGAGGAGUGGCCGAAGGAUAGGUCAGUUUCAGGAGGAGAGGUGUCCUGAUACCCUCCUCGGGAUUGCUUUGCACUGACACACCAGACAAAAUAACUGAGAAGGAAGGUCGUGACUGAAAACUAUUGACCUAUCACCACUAAAAUGAUAACCUAUUGCAGCUUAAUUAGGCAUUCAUAUCUCAGAGGAAUUUGUGACAGAAAUGGUUACCAGAAAGAUAAUUAGCAUUUUUUUAUUUUUACAACUAAGGAGACGGCUCAAGGGCAACAAAAAGAGUGUAGAAAAGAAAGCCCACUACUCACCGCUCCCACAAAAGUAAAAAGAAAAGAGUAGCCAAAAGAGAGGUCAAUUUUGGGUGGAGAGGUGUCUUGAUACACUCUUCUUGAAAGAGGUCAAGUCAUAAGUAGGAGGAAAUGCAGACGAAGGAAGGCUGUUCCAGAGUUUACCAAUGUGAGGGAUGAAAGAGUGAAGAUGCUGGUUAACUCUUGCAUAAGGGGCUUGGACAGUAAAGGGAUGAGGUAGAGUGGACAGUCGAGUGCAGCGGGGCCACAGGAUGAUAGUGUUAACCAGUGGAGUGAGUUGGGUUUUGUUCUGGAGUAGUACCAGAAAUAGAUGUUCAAAAACACUUUAAAAUUAGGUAUAGUUAGACUUUGUUGUGUGACGUGUCAAAAUCAGUCACUAUUAUCCAUUCACUUAACCCGGUAGCAGCGACGGGCCAAAUUUGUGCCAUGAUAUAAACCCCAAAAAAUAGAUGACACAUAAUCUGAUGACAAAUGCUUUGAUAUAUAUUAUGAAAUGGCUUGUGUGAGGGGUGAUUUUUUCUCAUUUUUCUCGCUUGGUGGGACCAUUAAGAAACAUGAUCCCUGCUGCUACCGGGUUAAGCUGGAUCCCCCACGCCAGCGGUUUUAUUCCUAACUUGGCUGGUUAGGACACUGUUGGAUGGUGGGCGUGGUGGCUGACCCCAUCACACAACAAACUCAGGAAGGUUAAAAACAACAACAAAUACUGCUACUAUUCCUUUACUCAACUCAUCUCUUACACAAGAUAGGCAAAUUUUGUGUACAGAAUUUCGUUAAGCAGUAACUGUAUGGUUAUAACACCGUUUUCAAAAUAAUUAUGGUAAAAAAUAAAGUAAUUGCUAUAAGUUAGUUAGUAAUAUUUAUUCUUCCUUGUCUCCACUUAUUUUACACUGUUUAAAAUCCAAAAGUACCUUCAGACUCAGUAGGAUUUUAUGUACAAGAACAAACUUUUCAUUCUAUAACUGGGUCCAUAAUUCCUGCAAAUAUUGAUAAGUAAAAAGUGGCAUCAUUUUACAUUUUUGGAAGUCUGGACAGUGAAGCAGCACCAGUAACAUGGAAAACAGUCAAUGUUGUGCUGAUAUUGCUGAAGUGUCAAAUUACCGUUCAAGUAUGUAGUUUUAAGUCUGUUGCAGGAAAAUGUCUGUGCCCACCUUGAUAGGCUCCCAGCAUGGGUUCAUUAAUUUUAAAAGUCAUGGCAGACAGCACCAGGUGAACAAAUUAAAUUACUUCCAUAUUCAUAGACAUAUCAGUCUCCCAUCACGACUAUUUUCUAAGGCCACAGAGAAUAGUAACCGGGUUUUCAUGGGUAAUGUUCCCCUUCAAGAUGUAGAGGCUGUUUAAAACUAUCGCCAGGCUCACAAAACAUUACUUGUAAAUCCCAGCAACUUCUACGAGAGGCUUUUCAAACAAGCGAACUGAGGUGCCGUUACGUUUAAAAAUACAGGCCUUAGACCAUUUGCCAGAACAGGAUGGAAUACAGUAACAUCGGAGAGAGGUGGAAGAUGUUAGAAAAUACCUGUGUUCUGCAGUGGACUAGUAAUUGAUAGUAUGAUAGUAUGAUUGUAUUAAUGCCUUUCUCAUCCCC
Molecule: long non-coding RNA, 2940 nt
Organism: Eriocheir sinensis (Chinese mitten crab)
Lineage: Eukaryota; Metazoa; Arthropoda; Malacostraca; Decapoda; Varunidae
Exons: 3
Source: RefSeq, a predicted model, not a curated record